GUGGACACGGCGUCUUAGGAUUAUUAAUUUUUUGUGUUUAUAAUCGCGAAAAUAGGCGAUUUCGUUUUGUUUUUGCGACGCUCGCCACCUCUUGUCAGUUGCUUUAGAUGUGGAACAGCAGUUGGUUGUGGUCAAGUAGGUAAGUGCAUUUGAUUGUUUUGUUUAGUUUGUUUAUGGUUAAUUGUUUUAUUUUUAGGUUUUAGCGUCAGCUCUUGUAGGCGCUCUCGAUCUGGAUUUUGAAAGUAGCAGGAAGGAUGGAUUUUGCAGCUCCGCGCUGGGUGCCCUGGUCGAAGCGUAGGCAGCUUUUGUGGCCCGUCUUUUGCAGCGCUGCAUUGCAGGUAGAUUGCAUCGGUGAUGAGGGAUACUGUCAGGGACCGUGUGGCGAGAAAGUUCAGGAUCAGCUGGAGUGCGUUUUCUUGGGCUUGUUCAUCCGGGUGCGUUGAGGAAAAUUAAGCUGAGUCGAGGAAGGUGGUGACCGUGCACGAGUUUGGGAGCUGACUGGAGUGCGCUUUUCCAUCGGAUAUAGAUAUCGUUAAUAUAUUUAUAAAUAGAUGUAGAUUUAAUUGGAUGUGUCCAUGUC
Molecule: long non-coding RNA, 580 nt
Organism: Drosophila sechellia
Lineage: Eukaryota; Metazoa; Arthropoda; Insecta; Diptera; Drosophilidae
Exons: 3
Source: RefSeq, a predicted model, not a curated record